UACAGAGGGUGCGAGCGUUGUCCGGAAUCACUGGGCGUAAAGGGCGCGUAGGUGGCGCUGCAAGUCGGUGGUGAAAGCUCGAUGCUUAACAUCGAGUCGGCCAUCGAAACUGCAGGGCUUGAGCACUGUAGGGGCAGAUGGAAUUCCGGGUGUAGCGGUGGAAUGCGUAGAGAUCCGGAAGAACACCGGUGGCGAAGGCGGUCUGCUGGGCAGUUGCUGACACUGAGGCGCGACAGCGUGGGGAGCAAACAGG
RNAcentral lists this ribosomal RNA (253 nucleotides) under uncultured bacterium. RNAcentral describes it as "partial 16S ribosomal RNA". It matches the Rfam family "Bacterial small subunit ribosomal RNA", at positions 524 to 776 of the family's 1533-position model. The record is from RNAcentral.